UAUUUUUUAGGAGAUAGUGACAUUAGAUUGAACAGUGAUGAUCUGCACAUAUAUCUGCAAACAUAGGUAUCCUAUGUCCGUAUAUUUGAGUUGGUGGUGGAAAAGGAGGAAAUGUAUGCCGAGUCAGCUGAGCGAAAGGAUUCUAGCAACUCGCUGGUCAACUGUGAGCGGAGGGAGAUCAGGAGCAAGCAGGCAUCGCCGGCAGGCUGUAAAAGAGGGGGAAGAGGAAGAUGGAGGUCGUGAUGCAUCUACGGCGACCAUGUCAUCCUUCCUGUGAUGACAAAAC
Molecule: long non-coding RNA, 286 nt
Organism: Lolium rigidum
Lineage: Eukaryota; Viridiplantae; Streptophyta; Magnoliopsida; Poales; Poaceae
Exons: 3
Source: RefSeq, a predicted model, not a curated record